RNAcentral lists this unclassified non-coding RNA (331 nucleotides) under soil metagenome. Its description in RNAcentral is "partial contains 5.8S ribosomal RNA, internal transcribed spacer 2, and large subunit ribosomal RNA". The stretch from base 1 to 120 matches the Rfam family "5.8S ribosomal RNA", at positions 35 to 154 of the family's 154-position model. The record is from RNAcentral.
GAUGAAGAACGUAGCGAAAUGCGAUAAGUAAUGUGAAUUGCAGAAUUCAGUGAAUCAUCGAAUCUUUGAACGCACAUUGCGCCCCCUGGUAUUCCGGGGGGCAUGCCUGUUCGAGCGUCAUUUCACCACUCAAGCCUCGCUUGGUAUUGGGCAACGCGGUCCGCCGCGUGCCUCAAAUCGUCCGGCUGGGUCUUCUGUCCCCUAAGCGUUGUGGAAACUAUUCGCUAAAGGGUGUUCGGGAGGCUACGCCGUAAAACAACCCCAUUUCUAAGGUUGACCUCGGAUCAGGUAGGGAUACCUGCUGAACUUAAGCAUAUCAAUAAGCGGAGGA